This 200-nucleotide ribosomal RNA is filed under the name uncultured bacterium. RNAcentral describes it as "partial 16S ribosomal RNA". It matches the Rfam family "Bacterial small subunit ribosomal RNA", at positions 28 to 225 of the family's 1533-position model. The record is from RNAcentral.
GAUGAACGCUAGCGGCAGGCUUAAUACAUGCAAGUCGUGGGGCAGCAGGGGUAGCAAUACCCGCUGGCGACCGGCAAACGGGUGCGCAAUACGUACGCAACCUUCCUUUAAGCGGGGAAUAGCCCAGGGAAACUUGGAUUAAUACCCCAUAGUAUGAUGAAGAGGCAUCUCUUUAUUAUUAAAGCUCCGGCACUUAAAGA